AUUGGAGAGAAGAGGAGAGGAGAGAAGAGGAGGGGAGAGAAGAGAGAGGAGAGAGGAUUUGGAGAGAAGAGGAGAGGAAAGAGGAGAUGAGAAAAGAGGAGUGGAGAGAAGAGGAGAGGGGAGGAGGGGAGAGAAGAGGAGGGGGAGAAGAGAGGGGAGAAGAGAAGAGGAGGGAAGAGGAGAGGAGAGAAGAGGAGAGGAGAGAAGAGGAGGGGAGAGAAGAGGAGGGGAAGAAGAGGAGGGGAGAGAAGAGGAGAUGAGAGAAGAGGAGGGGAGAGAAGAGGAGGGGAGAGAAGAGGAGAGGAGGGAAGAGGAGAGAAGAGGAGGGGAGAGAAGAGGAGGGGGAGAAAAGGAGGGGAGAGAAGAGGAGAGGAGAGAAGAGGAGGGGAGAGAAGAGGAGAGGAGGGAAGGGGAGAGAAGAGGAGGGGAGAGAAGAGGAGAGAAGAGGAGGGGAGAGAAGAGGAGGGGGAGAAGAGGAGGGGGAGAAGAGGAGUGGAGAGAAGAGGGGGAGAGAAGAGGAGAGGAGGGAAGAGGAGAGGAGAGAAGAGGAGAGAGAGGAGAGGAGAGAAGAGGAGGGGGAGAAGAGGAGGGGAGAGAAGAGGAGAUGAGAGAAGAGGAGGGGGAGAAGAGGAGGGGAGAGAAGAGGAGGGGGAGAAGAGGAGUGGAGAGAAGAGGAGGGGAGAGAAGAGGAGAGGAAAGAGGAGAGGAGAGAAGAGGAGGGGGAGAAGAGGAGGGGAGAGAAGAGGAGUGGAGAGAAGAGGAGAGGAGAGAAGAGGAGGGGAGAGAAGAGGAGAGGAGAGAAGAGGAGUGGAGAGAAGAGGAGAGGAAAGAGGAGAUGAGAAAAGAGGAGUGGAGAGAAGAGGAGAGGAGAGAGGAGGAGGGGAGAGAAGAGGAGGGGGAGAAGAGGAGGGGAGAGAAGAGGAGAGGAGAGAAGAGGAGGGGGAGAAGGAGGGAGAGAAGAGGAGAGAAGAGGAGAGGAGAGAAGAGGAGGGGAGAGAAGAGGAGGGGGAGAAGAGGAGGGGAGAGAAGAGGAGAGGAGUGGAGAGAAGAGGAGAGGAGAGAAGAGGAGAGGAGAGAAGAGGAGGGGAGAGGGGGGGAGAGAAGAGGAGAGGAGAGAAGAGGAGGGGAGAGAAGAGGAGGGGGAGAAAAUGAGGGGAGAGAAGAGGAGGGGAGAGAAGAGGAGAGGAGGGAAGAGGAGAGAAGAGGAGGGGAGAGAAGAGGAGAGAAGAGGAGGGGAGAGAAGAGGAGGGGGAGAAAGAGAGGGAAGGGGAGAGAAGAGGAGGG
Long non-coding RNA from Oncorhynchus tshawytscha (Chinook salmon), 1284 nucleotides. NCBI's taxonomy places the organism in Eukaryota, Metazoa, Chordata, Actinopteri, Salmoniformes, Salmonidae. The record is from Ensembl.